RNAcentral lists this unclassified non-coding RNA (458 nucleotides) under Actinia tenebrosa (Australian red waratah sea anemone). Its description in RNAcentral is "uncharacterized LOC116288559, transcript variant X3". The record is from RNAcentral. Lineage: Eukaryota; Metazoa; Cnidaria; Anthozoa; Actiniaria; Actiniidae.
GAGAGGGCCCUGGGAAUGAGGUUGCUGGUUAUAGACAUUUAGUUUUGAAGCCUCAGCUUUAUUUACCCAGCUUUAAUGGAUUCAGGACGGCUGAUUCUGUCACUCUGGUAGCGGCAAAUGGGGGUAUAAAGAAAGUCUCGGGCUGCAUCUAACUAAGCAGUUNGUUAGGAGUAUUCGAAAUCCAAAUAAUCAAUGAGUCACGUCUGUGUGAUGUUAUUUUCUAACUCAUCUCUCACAAGGGGCAACCAAUUAAGCAAGGCCUAAAGUUUGAUGACAUUGGAUGCUCAAAAGUUUGCGAGAUGCUGAUGGCAGAAGAACAUGAACAAAGUGAGACUUAAGAGCUUAAGUAAUAUAUACAGUAUGAGUGGCCGUGUUGUAUCCGAUAUACAAACUCGAGGCGUAGCCGAGAGUUCGUAUAUCGGAUACAACACGGACACGAAUACUGUAGAUUGCCUAUC